Molecule: non-coding RNA, 234 nt
Organism: Vicia faba (fava bean)
Lineage: Eukaryota; Viridiplantae; Streptophyta; Magnoliopsida; Fabales; Fabaceae
Source: the annotation of a GenBank genome assembly
AUGAGCUUCAUCAAUGAUUUAGGUUACCAUGGAGGAGGUCUUUCCCGAUCGUCUAUUGCUGACGGGUUCAAGUUCAAGGUUCUCGAGAGACCGUCAGACCCCUUCCUUGGAAGAGGAAUUCACAUAUUCUUCCAUCCAAUCAAUGCAUACCUUGGAGGAGGAACUGCAAACUUUGGCUCGGUAUAUCUGGUAUGGUUAAACUACUUUUACCCUUGGCAGAGUUGGUCGUUGUGA